AGAGUUUGAUCAUGGCUCAAGAACGAACGCUGGCGGCAUGCCUAACACAUGCAAGUCGAACGCCUGUAGCAAUACAGGAGUGGCGCACGGGUGAGUAACGCGUGGGAACCUGCCUAGUGGUAAGGAAUAACCGCGGGAAACUGCGGCUAAUACCUUAUGAGCCCUACGGGGGAAAGAUUUAUCGCCAUUAGAGGGGCCCGCGUCCGAUUAGCUAGUUGGUGAGGUAACGGCUCACCAAGGCGACGAUCGGUAGCUGGUCUGAGAGGAUGAUCAGCCACACUGGGACUGAGACACGGCCCAGACUCCUACGGGAGGCAGCAGUGGGGAGUAUUGGACAAUGGGGGCAACCCUGAUCCCAGCAAUGCCGCGUGAGUGAUGAAGGCCUUAGGGUUGUAAAGCUCUUUCGACGGGGAAGAUGAUGACGGUACCCGUAGAAGAAGCCCCGGCUAACUUCGUGCCAGCAGCGGC
This 468-nucleotide ribosomal RNA is filed under the name uncultured bacterium. RNAcentral describes it as "bacterial SSU rRNA". It matches the Rfam family "Bacterial small subunit ribosomal RNA", at positions 8 to 518 of the family's 1533-position model. The record is from RNAcentral.